AAGUCGUAACAAGGUUUCCGUAGGUGAACCUGCGGAAGGAUCAUUAACAAAUCAUUGAGCGCAAGCUCAUCAACCUUUGUGAAUAGGCUUGCGCAAGCAAGUUAGAUGGGACGAGGGAGGCGGUGGUUAGUAGGUGGUGGUGGUAGUAGUGGUGAGUGUUUAGGCUGAAGCAAUUCAAACCUGAGCAAGCAUUAGCUAGCAGCGCAACAGCCAGCCCCGCUACAUUAAUAUUGUCUGAUUACAUUUGGAGGUCGAAAGAUUUCUAAUAAUAAUACAACUUUUAACAAUGGAUCUCUUGGCUCUU
Molecule: unclassified non-coding RNA, 304 nt
Filed under: fungal sp.
Lineage: Eukaryota; Fungi
Description: partial internal transcribed spacer region
Rfam family: Eukaryotic small subunit ribosomal RNA (bases 1-46)
Source: RNAcentral